GUUUCCGUAGUAUAGUGGUUAUCACGUACGUCUCACACGCGCGAUGUUCCCGGUUCGAUCUCGGGCGGAAACC
This is a non-coding RNA of Dryococelus australis, 73 nucleotides long. The record is from the annotation of a GenBank genome assembly. Lineage: Eukaryota; Metazoa; Arthropoda; Insecta; Phasmatodea; Phasmatidae.